UACGUAGGGUGCGAGCGUUGUCCGGAAUUACUGGGCGUAAAGAGCUCGUAGGUGGUUUGUCACGUCGUCUGUGAAAUUCCGGGGCUUAACCUCGGGCGUGCAGGCGAUACGGGCAAUACUUGAGUGCUGUAGGGGAGACUGGAAUUCCUGGUGUAGCGGUGGAAUGCGCAGAUAUCAGGAGGAACACCGAUGGCGAAGGCAGGUCUCUGGGCAGUAACUGACGCUUAAGCGCGAAAGCUAGGGUAGCGAACGGGAUUAGAUACCCCCGUACGUCCU
RNAcentral lists this ribosomal RNA (276 nucleotides) under uncultured prokaryote. Its description in RNAcentral is "partial 16S ribosomal RNA". It matches the Rfam family "Bacterial small subunit ribosomal RNA", at positions 524 to 797 of the family's 1533-position model. The record is from RNAcentral.